AAAAUUGUUUUCAAUACGAAAUGUUUUAUUGUGUCAAAAAACUGUUAUAUUACUAAUAAACCGAUAUUAAAAUUAAGCGAUCAGAACAGCGCCAACAUUAAUCUGAGGAUUUUAGUAAUUAAAAUCUAACCGUAAGGCAUUUACGAAGGAAUUCUCGUUAUAAGGCAGUGUUCGCUUUUGUCAAUUCAGUUUAUUUCGAUGGGCUUACAUUUUCUACGUGUGAGUAUAAUAUAGUCGAUACUAAUUGACACUUUUUUUUAAUUCAAAGGAACUAUGUACAAUGAUUUACAUCGGUGCACAUGUGGCACAUUCGGUUUUUAGUUUAUUAUUAAUUAACUUUUGAUCUCUUAGUGAAGCACCACGAUUUUUUUUUUUCAAUCAAUUCUUCAUAUUCUAAGUAUCAUCUAUAGGAAAACUCAUUCAUUCAAAUUCACGCAAAACUAUCUCUUUCGUUUCGUUAUCCAUCUUGUUAUCUCGUUGGCUACCCUAGUUUUCAUAAGGCUGUUGUUCGAAACCUUAAGGUGUUGAUUUCGGCUAUAGUCUAGUAGUGGAUUAACUUUUCAGUAUUCUGCAAGGAAGGCAUAGGAUCUGAAUUACUUUGUUGAAGUCGUUUUGAUGAACUGUACCAUGCCUUCCCGCUUCAGCGUGAAUUAAUUCGCCGGCUAUGAAGUUAAUAUGUAAUUGUUUCUCCUAAUUAUCCCCACUUAGCAAUGUUGAUCUAUGUGUACAGUGCUAUAGUUUUCAAAGCAUAAUAGCCUUAU
Molecule: long non-coding RNA, 761 nt
Organism: Aedes aegypti (yellow fever mosquito)
Lineage: Eukaryota; Metazoa; Arthropoda; Insecta; Diptera; Culicidae
Exons: 2
Source: RefSeq, a predicted model, not a curated record